Molecule: long non-coding RNA, 291 nt
Organism: Pseudopipra pipra
Lineage: Eukaryota; Metazoa; Chordata; Aves; Passeriformes; Pipridae
Exons: 2
Source: RefSeq, a predicted model, not a curated record
GAGACAUCCCGGGAGAAGCCAAGAGUAAUUGGACUGUUUCAUUUGCUUUCCAGGAACUGCUUAUUAAUGGAUCUUGUCUGUCCUGGGCACCCACAGAGCAGUUGUGGGUGCAGAGCCAGAGCUGCCCUGCAGUGCAAAAGUCCUGAAAGGUGGAUCUGCUGAGAAAAACCCCAACUAAAUACAGGUAUGGAAAGAGAAGGGAACAACUGAGAUGCCAGCAAAGAAAAACAAAUGGAGGCCAUUAGGAAUUUAUAACAAUAAAGAGCAGUCUCUGAAAGGUAACAUUUGAAA